Molecule: long non-coding RNA, 422 nt
Filed under: Oryza brachyantha (malo sina)
Lineage: Eukaryota; Viridiplantae; Streptophyta; Magnoliopsida; Poales; Poaceae
Description: long non-coding RNA (OBRA_LNC002303)
Source: RNAcentral
CUGCCCCUCACUCUUUGUUUAUCUGCCUAAAAAAAACAUAAUGCAGUCCGUUUACUUUGAAAAUGGGUGGCAUUAGGAAAUAAGCACAUUGUGGCAGCAUGAGUCGUUUUACCAAACCAAUGUGGUAACCACCGCACGGGUUAGAGCUGCAAGACGCCAGUCACAUGAAGUUGGCUUGUGCUCUUCAUGCAGCAGCAGGUAUCCUCCUGCAUUCGGAGUUAUUUGGCGCAGUCAACACAAGGAGCGACAACUCCGAUCAGGCAAAACAGCAAAUGUGCACAUGAGAAGAUGGCACAAGCUUAUAGAAUCCACAUGUUCAGUUAACUAAAAAAAUAUUUGUGAUUAAAUUUCACGAAAUUACAUGUUUAUUGAGGUUGCAGCAGACAAUAAGAGGUUUUACAGUGGGUACUUGACCACAGUAU